This 119-nucleotide small RNA is filed under the name Salmonella enterica. RNAcentral's name for it is "RtT sRNA". It matches the Rfam family "RtT RNA". From Rfam's summary of the family: This family represents a bacterial cis-regulatory element known as RtT RNA. The record is from RNAcentral. RNAcentral also lists the same sequence under 2 other names. Lineage: Bacteria; Pseudomonadati; Pseudomonadota; Gammaproteobacteria; Enterobacterales; Enterobacteriaceae.
GCAUCUGAAACCUGACGAGGAUGAGAACCUCCGGGGGCAAGAGGUUCGACCCGAGCGAAGCGAGAGAACGUUGCGUCAGCAACGGCCCGCAGUGGCAAGUCAUCCUCUGUCACCGGCAG